This 1406-nucleotide ribosomal RNA is filed under the name metagenome. RNAcentral describes it as "bacterial LSU rRNA". It matches the Rfam family "Bacterial large subunit ribosomal RNA", at positions 1518 to 2925 of the family's 2925-position model. The record is from RNAcentral.
UGUGAGGCUAGUGUGUAGGCAAAUCCGCACACUAUUAGGCUGGGCUGUGAUGGGGAGCGAAAAUUAUAGUAGCGAAGGUCAUGUACUCCGGCUGUCAAGAAAAGCCUCUAGCCAGGUGAAGGUGCCCGUACCGCAAACCGACACAGGUAGGCGAGCAGAGCAUGCUAAGGCGCGCGGAAGAACUCUCGUUAAGGAACUCGGCAAAAUGACCCCGUAACUUCGGGAGAAGGGGUGCCUCGGUAGGGUGAAUAGCCCGAGGGGGCCGCAGUGAAAAGGCCCAAGCGACUGUUUAGCAAAAACACAGGUCUGUGCGAAGCCGUAAGGCGAAGUAUACGGGCUGACGCCUGCCCGGUGCUGGAAGGUUAAGGGGAGCGGUUAGGGGUAACCCGAAGCUGUGAACCGAAGCCCCAGUAAACGGCGGCCGUAACAAUAACGGUCCUAAGGUAGCGAAAUUCCUUGUCAGGUAAAUUCUGACCCGCACGAAUGGCGUAACGACUUGGGCGCUGUCUCAACGAGAGAUCCGGUGAAAUUUUAAUACCUGUGAAGAUGCAGGUUACCCGCGACAAGACGGAAAGACCCCAUGGAGCUUUACUGUAACUUGAUAUUGGACUUUGGUACGAUCUGUACAGGAUAGGUGGGAGCCUGAGAAGCAUGAGCGCCAGCUUGUGUGGAGGCGACGUUGGGAUACCACCCUGAUCGUAUCGGAGUUCUAACCUAGAACCGUGAAACCGGUUCGGGGACCGUGUCAGGUGGACAGUUUGACUGGGGCGGUCGCCUCCUAAAAUGUAACGGAGGCGCCCAAAGGUUCCCUCAGAAUGGUUGGAAAUCAUUCGAAGAGUGCAAAGGCAUAAGGGAGCUUGACUGCGAGACCUACAAGUCGAGCAGGGACGAAAGUCGGGCUUAGUGAUCCGGUGGUACCAAAUGGAAGGGCCAUCGCUCAACGGAUAAAAGCUACCCUGGGGAUAACAGGCUUAUCUCCCCCAAGAGUCCACAUCGACGGGGAGGUUUGGCACCUCGAUGUCGGCUCAUCGCAUCCUGGGGCUGAAGUAGGUCCCAAGGGUUGGGCUGUUCGCCCAUUAAAGCGGUACGCGAGCUGGGUUCAGAACGUCGUGAGACAGUUCGGUCCCUAUCUGUCGCGGGCGCAGGAAAUUUGAGAGGAGCUGUCCUUAGUACGAGAGGACCGGGAUGGACGUACCGCUGGUGUACCAGUUGUUCCGCCAGGAGCACCGCUGGGUAGCCAAGUACGGACGGGAUAAGCGCUGAAAGCAUCUAAGCGUGAAGCCCCCCUCGAGAUGAGAUUUCCCAGUAUGUAAGACCCCUUGAAGACGACGAGGUUGAUAGGUUCGGGGUGGAAGCACAGCAAUGUGUGUAGCUGACGAAUACUAAUCGGUCGAGGGCUUAUCCUG